This is a long non-coding RNA of Thalassophryne amazonica, 114 nucleotides long. RefSeq lists it as uncharacterized. The record is from RefSeq and is a predicted model, not a curated record. The transcript has 3 exons. Lineage: Eukaryota; Metazoa; Chordata; Actinopteri; Batrachoidiformes; Batrachoididae.
UUUUGUAACAUUACUUAGUGCAACAUAUAGCCUCCCAUAAAUGCAAGAACAACUUCAACAUAUUCUCCUUAAUACUAGCACUAGGACUAGUGGGACCUCAGGACGCGCGGACCC